Molecule: non-coding RNA, 45 nt
Filed under: Schistosoma haematobium
Lineage: Eukaryota; Metazoa; Platyhelminthes; Trematoda; Strigeidida; Schistosomatidae
Source: RNAcentral
ACCCAGAUGACGAGUCCCCAAUAAGACGAAACGCGCAUCAUGUAU